RNAcentral lists this ribosomal RNA (915 nucleotides) under uncultured bacterium. RNAcentral's name for it is "bacterial SSU rRNA". It matches the Rfam family "Bacterial small subunit ribosomal RNA", at positions 10 to 916 of the family's 1533-position model. The record is from RNAcentral.
AGUUUGAUCCUGGCUCAGGAUGAACGCUAGCUACAGGCUUAACACAUGCAAGUCGAGGGGCAUCAGUUUGGUUUGCUUGCAAACCAAAGCUGGCGACCGGCGCACGGGUGAGUAACACGUAUCCAACCUGCCUCAUACUCGGGGAUAGCCUUUCGAAAGAAAGAUUAAUAUCCGAUAGCAUAUAUUUCCCGCAUGGGUUUUAUAUUAAAGAAAUUCGGUAUGAGAUGGGGAUGCGUUCCAUUAGUUUGUUGGCGGGGUAACGGCCCACCAAGACUACGAUGGAUAGGGGUUCUGAGAGGAAGGUCCCCCACAUUGGAACUGAGACACGGUCCAAACUCCUACGGGAGGCAGCAGUGAGGAAUAUUGGUCAAUGGACGCGAGUCUGAACCAGCCAAGUAGCGUGAAGGAUGACUGCCCUAUGGGUUGUAAACUUCUUUUAUAUGGGAAUAAAGUGGUCCACGUGUGGAUUUUUGUAUGUACCAUAUGAACAAGGAUCGGCUAACUCCGUGCCAGCAGCCGCGGUAAUACGGAGGAUCCGAGCGUUAUCCGGAUUUAUUGGGUUUAAAGGGAGCGUAGGCGGAUUGUUAAGUCAGUUGUGAAAGUUUGCGGCUCAACCGUAAAAUUGCAGUUGAUACUGGCAGUCUUGAGUGCAGUAGAGGUGGGCGGAAUUCGUGGUGUAGCGGUGAAAUGCUUAGAUAUCACGAAGAACUCCGAUUGCGAAGGCAGCUCACUGGAGUGUAACUGACGCUGAUGCUCGAAAGUGUGGGUAUCAAACAGGAUUAGAUACCCUGGUAGUCCACACAGUAAACGAUGAAUACUCGCUGUUUGCGAUAUACAGUAAGCGGCCAAGCGAAAGCAUUAAGUAUUCCACCUGGGGAGUACGCCGGCAACGGUGAAACUCAAAGGAAUUGACGG